GGGCGGACAUCGCACCAGCUUGAAGACGCUUCAGUCCUUCACUAGCUGAGCUGGAGCACGAAGGUCUCAGAGGAAGCAUGUGUCACAGCCCACCUGUGGAGAUGGAGGACAAUUAGUCUGUUGUCCUCACACCGUGGUGUAGGACUUGGGGGUCGAACUCAGGUGGUGAGGCUUGGCCGCAACCACCCUUCCCCUGCUGAGCCACCUCGCCAGCCCCAGCCCCGGAUCUGGCAGCUGACAGCAUCAUUGGCCCUCUCUACAGUACAGACUACAGGGGGGCGGGGCUGGUGCCAGGAGCGGAUUAGAUUGCGGAAUAUGUCCACAUUGCAGACGGCCGUAAUUCUUCCCUCCCUUCCUCUCUUUGCCAUCUCCCUUCUCUCCACCUCCCCCUCCCCCCCAACAGCCACUUCUUCGGUUUGUUACUCAGUAAAGAGAGAAUGCACUCAGCAUGAA
Molecule: non-coding RNA, 453 nt
Organism: Peromyscus maniculatus bairdii (prairie deer mouse)
Lineage: Eukaryota; Metazoa; Chordata; Mammalia; Rodentia; Cricetidae
Source: RefSeq, a predicted model, not a curated record